UGGAUUGAUAAUGGCUACUGGUGGCCUAGGAGUUACAUGGGGCAAAUACAUGUCUGGAACUCUGAGUUCUCA
This is a non-coding RNA of Myotis lucifugus (little brown bat), 72 nucleotides long. NCBI's taxonomy places the organism in Eukaryota, Metazoa, Chordata, Mammalia, Chiroptera, Vespertilionidae. The record is from Rfam.